ACUUGAUCUCUUGAUUCAUUCAGCCAGUUCUUUCUGUGCUUUCCGUGGUCCAGCGUGAUUUCUGAAAGAUAACAUCUCAGAAGUGGAAUACAAGGUGGCUAACAAAUUUUUCCAGCAACACAGAGCUGAGAGGAUUGGGAUCUCAGAGAAGAAGGAGCCCUGCAUUCUUGGCUUCAUCUGCCUGGAGUGGAGUUUCCAUCAUGCUGAGCUGGAGGUGCACGGGGCCAGGGAAUGAGCAAGUCGUAGCUCAAAUGUCCCAGACUCUUACUAUUCUUAUUGAAAUUUAGUAGGUUUUCUUGAAUAAAUGUUUCUUCAUCUGCUGUAUGCCCUUAGGACAAUUCCCAGGAACAUACAUCUAUAUUGAUAUCAAUAUAAAUAUAAAUAGAUAAUUAUGUAUGUAUAACUUUAGCAGUUUUACUUGUUCUGCUGGAAAGAAGGUCUGGAAGGUUUGCAGAGCUGCUCAUGCCACCAUUCCAGAAGUUAUCCACCAGUUCAUUGCUUUUUGCACAGUAGUAUUCCAUUGCAUGUCUAUGCCACAAUUUGUUUAUCCAUUCACCUGUUGAUGGACAUUUGAGCUGUUUCCUGUUUGAGGCUAUUACAAAUAAAGCUGCUUUACAAAUAAAGCUGCUUUGAACAUUUGUGUAUAA
Molecule: long non-coding RNA, 647 nt
Organism: Homo sapiens (human)
Lineage: Eukaryota; Metazoa; Chordata; Mammalia; Primates; Hominidae
Source: Ensembl